AAUCGAAUUAAUAUUGAUUUAGUUACCAAUAUAUAUUUGAUAAAUUUUCAAAGAAUUUAAGAAAUCUGUAUUGUGUUCAAUUUUUUGGUUCCGUUUCUGGGUAGGUCGGCCCCGGGUCUUUCUUUUCCUGUUGUUCUGUUCCUGCCACGAGAAUGUCAAAUAACUUUGAAGACAGAAGUUAUCCUAUCGAUGCUGUAUUCAUGCCUGUUGAAAAUGCCACCUAAGAAAGGACGGAACUGUCGAGUAAGGAUUGGCCGGGCAGAGGCCUUUGGUGUCCACUCCAGUCAAGAAUUGGAGCCUCCAGGUAUUAGCUGUUAGCCGUCGGACUCAUUUAAAGGAUUUAGUUUGGUUUCUACGAGCUUCUUAU
This 367-nucleotide small RNA is filed under the name Arabidopsis thaliana (thale cress). Its description in RNAcentral is "ATSL236110". The record is from RNAcentral. Lineage: Eukaryota; Viridiplantae; Streptophyta; Magnoliopsida; Brassicales; Brassicaceae.